GCUUCCCCUUCACUAUUUUCACCACAUGGGCUACUCUCUAUUGUCAGUGUAAAUAUUGUAUGGCUCCGGCUGCUGAGUAAAUUAAAAUUUGUAGAUCCAACAUGUCUAUGCUCUUCUCCAGCUGCUAUAAGGGAAAGGGCAUGGGCAGGGGAUAAUACAACUUCUUCCUUUAUUCCUUCAACAAAUGUUCCCUGAGUGUCUUCUCUAAUUCUUAAAUUUUGUCCUGCUGGAUUUAAUAAGUCAUUAACAACCUCAUUAUAGAUCUCAAGGUAGGAAACACGAAGAAGAAACUCUCGGUUUGGUGUCUCUUGAAUAAUACUAAAAGCAUCCUUCACAGCCAAUGGUAUAAUUCCAGGGGACCUCUGAUCACCAUGCAUUGUGUGAGUCUUCCCACUGCUUGUUACACCAUAUGCAAAAAUGGUUCCAUUAAUGCCUUCCAUAGCACCACUGACGAUAUGCUGAGCAGCAACAUCAUAGACAUGGCGCGUUGUAGUUGUAGGGCCAAACACCCGAUCAUAUGCAUAUGCGAUGGACGGAUUAUGUUCAUUUCUGACAAUAGUUUCUCCAUCAGCAUACCAAGCAAUCUCUUCUCCUUGACGAAUUUCCCUAGGACUUAAUGGGCGAAAGCGAACGGUGACAGUGACGUUUUCUUUGGAUCUCGCCCCAUUUAAAGUCACACUUUCUGAGUAAAAAUACUGUGGCUUGCUGCGAGCAGAGGAUGAUGCAGGGGAGCUCUGACCAUCUAUGGAUGUUUCUAUAAAUUGUUUUGAAGAUGAUGUCGUUGAAGAAGAAUUAGAAUUUAUAGCUUUUGAACUGACUGAACCUAACCUCUUCGAUUUUGAUCCUUGUUUUGACGCCAUUAACGAACCAACUGACCCUCUUUACCCAAAAUUAACUUAAUUUAGAAAAGAAAAAGAGAAAUAUCGAGAGGAGGACAAAGGUAGAGGGGUGCAUGGAGAGGAAGACGAGUCCUGUAGUUCAGUUACAGAGAGAUCUUAGAUAGAGAGAGAGAUUAAUAGAGCUUAGAUCUAGUAAAGGAGACGGAGGAAGAGAGUGCGAGAAGCCAAUGAGGGUAGAAGAAGACCAUCAUCAUCAUCACUCCCCUGGUCAGAGGUAGAAAGACAGACAGAGAGAGAGAGAAACAGAGGGAGAGAUGGC
RNAcentral lists this unclassified non-coding RNA (1158 nucleotides) under Hevea brasiliensis (rubber tree). The record is from RNAcentral. Lineage: Eukaryota; Viridiplantae; Streptophyta; Magnoliopsida; Malpighiales; Euphorbiaceae.